This 446-nucleotide ribosomal RNA is filed under the name uncultured Bacteroidota bacterium. Its description in RNAcentral is "bacterial SSU rRNA". It matches the Rfam family "Bacterial small subunit ribosomal RNA", at positions 354 to 796 of the family's 1533-position model. The record is from RNAcentral. Lineage: Bacteria; Pseudomonadati; Bacteroidota.
GUGAGGAAUAUUGGUCAAUGGGCGCAAGCCUGAACCAGCCAUCCCGCGUGCAGGAAGACGGCGCUAUGCGUUGUAAACUGCUUUUCCAGGGGGAGAAACUUGCGCACGUGUUGCGCAAUUGACGGUACCCUGGGAAUAAGCAUCGGCUAACUCCGUGCCAGCAGCCGCGGUAAUACGGAGGAUGCGAGCGUUAUCCGGAUUCAUUGGGUUUAAAGGGUGCGUAGGCGGACUAUUAAGUCAGUGGUGAAAUCCUGCAGCUUAACUGCAGAACUGCCAUUGAUACUGAUAGCCUUGAGUUUGGUUAAGGUAGGCGGAAUGUGUAAUGUAGCGGUGAAAUGCUUAGAUAUUACACAGAACACCAAUUGCGUAGGCAGCUUACUGAGCCGACACUGACGCUGAGGCACGAAAGCGUGGGGAUCGAACAGGAUUAGAUACCCGAGUAGUCC